This 253-nucleotide ribosomal RNA is filed under the name uncultured bacterium. RNAcentral's name for it is "partial 16S ribosomal RNA". It matches the Rfam family "Bacterial small subunit ribosomal RNA", at positions 524 to 776 of the family's 1533-position model. The record is from RNAcentral.
UACGGAGAGAGCCAGCGUUGUUCGGAAUUACUGGGCGUAAAGCGCACGUAGGCGGCCUUGUAAGUUAGAGGUGAAAGCCCGGGGCUCAACUCCGGAACUGCCUUUAAGACUACAUCGCUUGAAUACUGGAGAGGUGAGUGGAAUUCCGAGUGUAGCGGUGAAAUUCGUAGAUAUUCUGAAGAACACCAGUGGCGAAGGCGGCUGACUGGACAUGUAUUGACGCUGAGGUGCGAAAGCGUGGGGAGCAAACAGG